This is a long non-coding RNA of Lotus japonicus, 801 nucleotides long. RefSeq lists it as uncharacterized. NCBI's taxonomy places the organism in Eukaryota, Viridiplantae, Streptophyta, Magnoliopsida, Fabales, Fabaceae. The transcript has 3 exons. The record is from RefSeq and is a predicted model, not a curated record.
ACUCUCUUCUGCCGACCUCACCAUCCUUUUCUUCUUCUUAUUCUACCACUCUUCUCCUUCACGCUCAUUUCCUUUCUCUGGCAGCAGCAUCUUCUUCUUUCAUUUUCUUUGAGCAACACCAUGCUCCAUGCACAUAAUCUAUAGCCUAUUUUUGAUUUAAAACACAGAUGUUAAUGUAACUUUAGAAGCAUGGGAGAUUCCAUAUUAAAGCUUAAGGCAGAUCUUUGUGUAUUAAUUGAAUAGUAUGAAGCAUAAUUGAGAUUCACCUUACAACAGCACACCACCACCAUGUCCUUUUCUUCCUCACCUACAACCAUGGCAGCACCUCUUCAUCACUAAGUUUCUCCUUCACGCAGGUUGGAGCAAAAAGCAUUGGAAUGUUCAAGUUUGGAACUCAAAGUUGGAGCAACUGAGUGUGGACAAAAAAAGAAGGAGAAUCGGCGAAGGCCCUAACAGGUGUUGCUGUGAGUAGCUGUUGAUCGCUGUCAGGAGGUGAUUGAAUUGAUUUACGGGAUGACUUUUUGGAGUGAGUAGAUUAACCGAAGACUGGUAGGAGUAAUAGUUAGAUGUAAGGCUAGAGCCUUGGGUAGAGAAGCUUACUGUUAUUGGUUAAAGCUUAUAGGGAUGGUUGUAUAACUUACUUUGGCUUUGGGUAGGUUCCGAUGCAUUGCUCUUCUGCAACUCUCCAGUGCGGGGAUUGUAGGAAGUAUAUUGGACUUAGGGUGUUAUCGCAUUCUGAACCUUGUUGUCUGUUAAGGCAUUACGUUAUUGUAUAUUACAUGUAUUGAACAUCCGUCGUCA